RNAcentral lists this small nuclear RNA (21 nucleotides) under Arabidopsis thaliana (thale cress). Its description in RNAcentral is "snRNA_05135". The record is from RNAcentral. Lineage: Eukaryota; Viridiplantae; Streptophyta; Magnoliopsida; Brassicales; Brassicaceae.
GAAAUGACUUGAGAGGUGUAG